UAGGGAAUCUUCCGCAAUGGGCGAAAGCUUGACGGAGCAACGCCGCGUGAGUGAUGAAGGUCUUCGGAUCGUAAAACUCUGUUAUUAGGGAAGAACAAAUGUGUAAGUAACUAUGCACGUCUUGACGGUACCUAAUCAGAAAGCCACGGCUAACUACGUGCCAGCAGCCGCGGUAAUACGUAGGUGGCAAGCGUUAUCCGGAAUUAUUGGGCGUAAAGCGCGCGUAGGCGGUUUUUUAAGUCUGAUGUGAAAGCCCACGGCCCAACCGUGGAGGGUCAUUGGAAACUGGAAAACUUGAGUGCAGAAGAGGAAAGUGGAAUUCCAUGUGUAGCGGUGAAAUGCGCAGAGAUAUGGAGGAACACCAGUGGCGAAGGCGACUUUCUGGUCUGUAACUGACGCUGAUGUGCGAAAGCGUGGGGAUCAAACAGG
Molecule: ribosomal RNA, 429 nt
Filed under: Actinomycetes bacterium
Lineage: Bacteria; Bacillati; Actinomycetota; Actinomycetes
Description: Actinobacteria bacterium partial 16S ribosomal RNA
Rfam family: Bacterial small subunit ribosomal RNA
Source: RNAcentral